GCCUGGGUGGCUCAGUCAGUUAAGCAUCUGACUUUGGCUCAGAUCAUGAUCAUACAGUUUGUGGGUUCGAGCCCCACAUCAGGUU
Molecule: transfer RNA, 85 nt
Filed under: Felis catus (domestic cat)
Lineage: Eukaryota; Metazoa; Chordata; Mammalia; Carnivora; Felidae
Also listed under: 3 other names
Rfam family: tRNA
About the family: Transfer RNA (tRNA) molecules are approximately 80 nucleotides in length. Their secondary structure includes four short double-helical elements and three loops (D, anti-codon, and T loops). Further hydrogen bonds mediate the characteristic L-shaped molecular structure. tRNAs have two regions of fundamental functional importance: the anti-codon, which is responsible for specific mRNA codon recognition, and the 3' end, to which the tRNAs corresponding amino acid is attached (by aminoacyl-tRNA synthetases). tRNAs cope with the degeneracy of the genetic code in two manners: having more than one tRNA (with a specific anti-codon) for a particular amino acid; and 'wobble' base-pairing, i.e. permitting non-standard base-pairing at the 3rd anti-codon position.
Source: Rfam by way of RNAcentral